RNAcentral lists this ribosomal RNA (253 nucleotides) under uncultured bacterium. Its description in RNAcentral is "partial 16S ribosomal RNA". It matches the Rfam family "Bacterial small subunit ribosomal RNA", at positions 524 to 776 of the family's 1533-position model. The record is from RNAcentral.
UACAGAGGGGGCAAGCGUUGUUCGGAAUUACUGGGCGUAAAGGGCGCGUAGGCGGCCUUCUAAGUCGAACGUGAAAUCCCCGGGCUCAACCCGGGAACUGCGUCCGAUACUGGAAGGCUUGAAUCCGGGAGAGGGAUGCGGAAUUCCAGGUGUAGCGGUGAAAUGCGUAGAUAUCUGGAGGAAUACCGGUGGCGAAGGCGGCAUCCUGGACCGAGAUUGACGCUGAUGAGCGAAAGCUAGGGGAGCAAACGGG